GGGGGUGUAAGGUUUCGACGGUUAUCUUGAAAUAUGAAUAGCGAGUAGUGGAUGGUCGCUUCGGCCACUAUAAAAAAGCGAAAAAAAUAUAAACGCUGAUAAUAGAUUAGCAAUGGCUGCUUAAUUAAAAGCGCCUGUCUAAGUAAAUUUUGCUAGAGGAUUUACAUUAGGCAUCGACUUAUCUAGCUAACAAAUUUAAUCUGGGUUGUGGAUUAAAGGGUAUUAUAACAACCUGUUUGUUAUAUAGUUUUGUAAAUGUUAGAGUAUAACAAAUAAAUUUUAAACAUUUACUGCACUCGGAGAAGUUCGUAUGGAUGGAUUUUCGGACGUGAGUUCAACUCUCACCACCUCCACCA
Molecule: small RNA, 356 nt
Filed under: Clostridia
Lineage: Bacteria; Bacillati; Bacillota
Also listed under: 1 other name
Description: CAG-465 sp905204915 Standard tmRNA
Rfam family: transfer-messenger RNA
About the family: Bacterial tmRNA, also known as 10Sa RNA or SsrA, is named for its dual tRNA and mRNA-like properties. Its role is to liberate the mRNA from a stalled ribosome.
Source: RNAcentral